GUAGGGGGCAAGCGUUAUCCGGAUUUACUGGGUGUAAAGGGAGCGUAGACGGAUGGACAAGUCUGAUGUGAAAGGCUGGGGCUCAACCCCGGGACUGCAUUGGAAACUGCCCGUCUUGAGUGCCGGAGAGGUAAGCGGAAUUCCUUGUGUAGCGGUGAAAUGCGUAGAUAUUAGGAGGAACACCAGUGGCGAAGGCGGCUUACUGGACAGUAACUGACGUUGAGGCUCGAAAGCGUGGGGAGCAAACAGGAUUAGAUACCCUGGUAGUCCACGCCGUAAACGAUGACUACUAGGUGUCGGGUGGCAAAGCCAUUCGGUGCCGCAGCAAACGCAAUAAGUAGUCCACCUGGGGAGU
RNAcentral lists this ribosomal RNA (355 nucleotides) under uncultured bacterium. RNAcentral's name for it is "bacterial SSU rRNA". It matches the Rfam family "Bacterial small subunit ribosomal RNA", at positions 527 to 881 of the family's 1533-position model. The record is from RNAcentral.